This 71-nucleotide transfer RNA is filed under the name Camelus bactrianus (Bactrian camel). It matches the Rfam family "tRNA". From Rfam's summary of the family: Transfer RNA (tRNA) molecules are approximately 80 nucleotides in length. The record is from Rfam by way of RNAcentral. Lineage: Eukaryota; Metazoa; Chordata; Mammalia; Artiodactyla; Camelidae. RNAcentral also lists the same sequence under 2 other names.
GCGGGACUAGCUCAGUGGUAGAGCGUGUGCUUAGCAUGCCCGAGGUCCUGGGUUCGAUCCCUGGUGCCCCC